GGAGCGGAAUAUUUGGACAAUGGGCGGAAGCCUGAUCCAGCCAUGCCGCGUGUGUGAAGAAGGCCUUUUGGUUGUAAAGCACUUUAAGCGAGGAGGAGGCUACUAGUAUUAAUACUACUGGAUAGUGGACGUUACUCGCAGAAUAAGCACCGGCUAACUCUGUGCCAGCAGCCGCGGUAAUUAAAA
This 186-nucleotide ribosomal RNA is filed under the name uncultured Acinetobacter sp. RNAcentral's name for it is "partial 16S ribosomal DNA". It matches the Rfam family "Bacterial small subunit ribosomal RNA", at positions 353 to 529 of the family's 1533-position model. The record is from RNAcentral. Lineage: Bacteria; Pseudomonadati; Pseudomonadota; Gammaproteobacteria; Moraxellales; Moraxellaceae.